This 440-nucleotide ribosomal RNA is filed under the name uncultured bacterium. Its description in RNAcentral is "partial 16S ribosomal RNA". It matches the Rfam family "Bacterial small subunit ribosomal RNA", at positions 338 to 795 of the family's 1533-position model. The record is from RNAcentral.
CCUACGGGAGGCAGCAGUAGGGAAUAUUGCUCAAUGGGGGAAACCCUGAAGCAGCAACGCCGCGUGGAGGAUGAAGGUUUUAGGAUUGUAAACUCCUUUUGUGAGAGAAGAUAAUGACGGUAUCUCACGAAUAAGCACCGGCUAACUCCGUGCCAGCAGCCUCUUUAAUACUUAUUUUGCAAUCUUUACUCGGAAUCACUGGUCGUAAAGAGUGCGCAGGCGGGCUUGUAAGUAAGAUGUGAAAUCCUGUAGCUUAACUACAGAACUGCAUUUGAAACUAUGAGUCUAGAGUGUGGGAGAGGGAGGUGGAAUUAUUGGUGUAGGGGUAAAAUAAGUAGAUAGAAAGAGGAAUAAUAAUUGAGAAGGAGAAAUAAUGGAAAAGGAAGGAAGAUAAUGAAAGAAAGAGUGGGGAGAAAAAAGGAUUAGAUAAAAAAGUAGGC